Molecule: long non-coding RNA, 513 nt
Filed under: Medicago truncatula (barrel medic)
Lineage: Eukaryota; Viridiplantae; Streptophyta; Magnoliopsida; Fabales; Fabaceae
Description: lncRNA gene20671
Source: RNAcentral
AGAGAACAUGAGAAUACAAGAUGACUGUGAUAAGCAAUCCCAGAUAUAGACGGAUCUGGAGUGCGGAUUUACAAAGUGGAACAACACCAUUUGAUCAUUCUUACUAUCAACAGAAGAUGACAUGAACCUUUAUAUGAAAGGUUAAUCGUGAAACAUUGACAUCAUAAACGACUCAAAAUAAAAGUAAGAAAGAAAAGAAGAGAAUGUGAGUUUGAAUGAGAAAUUGUGAAGAAUGAGUGGGCUUUUGUAAAAGGGACAUUUUGUUUUGUUUUUAUAUUGAGUCGUGUAACUCUAGUUUUUCUUAAAUCAAGCAAUUCUUAUGUGUUUUUGAUGUAAUUCACUACAAAAUCAUGUAAUUCGGCAAAGCAAAGCACCUCAUAAAGAAUUAGGAAGACACUGGAUGAAGAUUCAAGAAGCUUCUAAAGACAUUACAAAGUAGAGAAAUACUUGAGGACAAUCCACUCAAAAAUUUAUAAAGUUUAUGCUUCAUUUGUACGGUGCUAGGAAUUAGGA